This 253-nucleotide ribosomal RNA is filed under the name uncultured bacterium. RNAcentral describes it as "partial 16S ribosomal RNA". It matches the Rfam family "Bacterial small subunit ribosomal RNA", at positions 524 to 776 of the family's 1533-position model. The record is from RNAcentral.
UACAGAGGUGGCAAGCGUUGUUCGGAAUUACUGGGCGUAAAGGGCGCGUAGGCGGCCUUGUAAGUCCUGUGUGAAAUCCCCCGGCUCAACUGGGGAACUGCGCAGGAGACUGCUUGGCUUGAGUUCGGGAGAGGGAAGCGGAAUUCCGGGUGUAGCGGUGAAAUGCGUAGAUAUCCGGAGGAACACCGGUGGCGAAGGCGGCUUCCUGGACCGACACUGACGCUGAGGCGCGAAAGCCAGGGGAGCAAACGGG